RNAcentral lists this ribosomal RNA (391 nucleotides) under uncultured bacterium. RNAcentral's name for it is "bacterial SSU rRNA". It matches the Rfam family "Bacterial small subunit ribosomal RNA", at positions 29 to 446 of the family's 1533-position model. The record is from RNAcentral.
AGCGAACGCUGGCGGCAGGCCUAACACAUGCAAGUCGAACGGAUCCUUCGGGAUUAGUGGCGGACGGGUGAGGAACACGUGGGAACGUGCCUUUUGGUUCGGAACAACUCAGGGAAACUUGAGCUAAUACCGGAUAAGCCCUUCGGGGAAAGAUUUAUCGCCAAUAGAGCGGCCCGCGUCUGAUUAGCUUGUUGGUGGGGUAAAGGCCCACCAAGGCUACGAUCAGUAGCUGGUCUGAGAGGAUGAUCAGCCACAUUGGGACUGAGACACGGCCCAAACUCCUACGGGAGGCAGCAGUGGGGAAUCUUGCGCAAUGGGCGAAAGCCUGACGCAGCCAUGCCGCGUGAAUGAUAGAAGGUCUUAGGAUUAGUAAAAUUCUUUCACCGGGGAC